GACGAACGCUGGCGGCGUGCUUAACACAUGCAAGUCGAACGGAAAGGCCCUGCUUUUGUGGGGUGCUCGAGUGGCGAACGGGUGAGUAACACGUGAGUAACCUGCCCUUUACUUUGGGAUAACUUCAGGAAACUGGGGCUAAUACCGGAUAGGAGCUCCUGCUGCAUUGUGGGGGUUGGAAAGUUUCGGCGGUUGGGGAUGGACUCGCGGCUUAUCAGCUUGUUGGUGGGGUAGUGGCUUACCAAGGCUUUGACGGGUAGCCGGCCUGAGAGGGUGACCGGCCACAUUGGGACUGAGAUACGGCCCAGACUCCUACGGGAGGCAGCAGUGGGGAAUAUUGCACAAUGGGCGGAAGCCUGAUGCUGCAACGCCGCGUGCGGGAUGACGGCCUUCGGGUUGUAAACCGCUUUCGCCUGUGACGAAGCGUGAGUGACGGUAAUGGGUAAAGAAGCACCGGCUAACUACGUG
This 468-nucleotide ribosomal RNA is filed under the name uncultured bacterium. RNAcentral's name for it is "partial 16S ribosomal RNA". It matches the Rfam family "Bacterial small subunit ribosomal RNA", at positions 28 to 507 of the family's 1533-position model. The record is from RNAcentral.